This 803-nucleotide ribosomal RNA is filed under the name Streptococcus dysgalactiae subsp. dysgalactiae. Its description in RNAcentral is "bacterial SSU rRNA". It matches the Rfam family "Bacterial small subunit ribosomal RNA", at positions 10 to 796 of the family's 1533-position model. The record is from RNAcentral. Lineage: Bacteria; Bacillati; Bacillota; Bacilli; Lactobacillales; Streptococcaceae.
AGUUUGAUCCUGGCUCAGGACGAACGCUGGCGGCGUGCAUAAUACAUGCAAGUAGAACGCUGAGGACUGGUGCUUGCACCGGUUCAAGGAGUUGCGAACGGGUGAGUAACGCGUAGGUAACCUACCUCAUAGCGGGGGAUAACUAUUGGAAACGAUAGCUAAUACCGCAUGACAAUGGAGGACCCAUGUCUUUCAUUUAAAAGGUGCAACUGCAUCACUAUGAGAUGGACCUGCGUUGUAUUAGCUAGUUGGUGAGGUAACGGCUCACCAAGGCGACGAUACAUAGCCGACCUGAGAGGGUGAACGGCCACACUGGGACUGAGACACGGCCCARACUCCUACGGGAGGCAGCAGUAGGGAAUCUUCGGCAAUGGACGGAAGUCUGACCGAGCAACGCCGCGUGAGUGAAGAAGGUUUUCGGAUCGUAAAGCUCUGUUGUUAGAGAAGAAUGAUGGUGGGAGUGGAAAAUCCACCAUGUGACGGUAACUAACCAGAAAGGGACGGCUAACUACGUGCCAGCAGCCGCGGUAAUACGUAGGUCCCGAGCGUUGUCCGGAUUUAUUGGGCGUAAAGCGAGCGCAGGCGGUUCUUUAAGUCUGAAGUUAAAGGCAGUGGCUCAACCACUGUACGCUUUGGAAACUGGAGAACUUGAGUGCAGAAGGGGAGAGUGGAAUUCCAUGUGUAGCGGUGAAAUGCGUAGAUAUAUGGAGGAACACCGGUGGCGAAAGCGGCUCUCUGGUCUGUAACUGACGCUGAGGCUCGAAAGCGUGGGGAGCAAACAGGAUUAGAUACCCUGGUAGUCC